GAGAAUCUGCGAUGGGAAGUGCUUCUUCCAUCGCCGAUGAACUAGGAGGAGAGGGGAAAUCAAUUCGAAAGUUCGGCCGAGAAAUCGUUUCAUCCGCCAUUGGUUCUCUGGAUUGGCGGUAUGAUUGUUGCUCGUCUACAU
Molecule: small nucleolar RNA, 141 nt
Organism: Rhodamnia argentea
Lineage: Eukaryota; Viridiplantae; Streptophyta; Magnoliopsida; Myrtales; Myrtaceae
Product: small nucleolar RNA snoR111
Exons: 1
Source: RefSeq, a predicted model, not a curated record